RNAcentral lists this ribosomal RNA (434 nucleotides) under uncultured bacterium. Its description in RNAcentral is "partial 16S ribosomal RNA". It matches the Rfam family "Bacterial small subunit ribosomal RNA", at positions 29 to 507 of the family's 1533-position model. The record is from RNAcentral.
AGCGAACGCUGGCGGCAGGCCUAACACAUGCAAGUCGAACGAACCUUUCGGGGUUAGUGGCGGACGGGUGAGUAAAACGUGGGAACGUGCCUUUAGGUUCGGAAUAACGCAGGGAAACUUGUGCUAAAACAGAAUGUGCCCUUCGGGGGAGAGAUUUAUCGCCUUUAGUGCGGCCCGCGUCUGAUUAGCUAGUUGGUUGAGGUAAUGGCUCACCAAGGUGACGACCAGUAGCUGGUCUGAGAGGAUGAUCAGCCACAUUGGGACUGAGACACGGCCCAAACUCCUACGGGAGGCAGCAGUGGGGAAUCUUGCGCAAUGGGCGAAAGCCUGACGCAGCCAUGCCGCGUGAAUGAUGAAGGUCUUAGGAUUGUAAAAUUCUGUCACCGGGGACGAUAAUGACGGUACCCGGAGAAGAAGCCCCGGCUAACUUCGUG